ACCAACUCUGAUAAUGACAGGACCAAGUACAAAUGCUAAUAAUUUUUUUUAUUUUUCAAAAGAACUAUCUCAGAUUUGAAACAUAAAAUGAUAUGUUACAUUUUGAAAUAUUUAUGUUAUAAAAAGUAUAGAUUUAUUUUCAAAAACUUUCAAAAACGUUACAUGACCAUCGCUGACUGACAGGACCAACCUCGACAAUGACCGAAC
This 207-nucleotide long non-coding RNA is filed under the name Mytilus galloprovincialis (Mediterranean mussel). The record is from RNAcentral. Lineage: Eukaryota; Metazoa; Mollusca; Bivalvia; Mytilida; Mytilidae.